GGCCUGGGAGGGAAUGUGUUUGUUUGUUUGUUUGUGUGUUUGUUUGUUUGUUUUUUGAGAUGGAGUUUCACUCUUGUUGCCCAGGCUGGAGUACAAUGGCGAAAUCUCGGCUCUCUGCAGCUUCCGCCUUCUGGGUUCAAGCAAUUCUCCUGCCUUCGCCUCCCAAGUAGCUGGGAUUACAGGCAUGUGCCACCAUGCCUGGGUAAUUUUGUAUUUUUAAUAGAGAUGGGGUUUCUCCAUGUUGGUCGGGCUGGUCUCGAACUCCCGAUCUCAGGUGAUCCGCCUGCCUCAGCCUUCUAAAGUGGCGGGAUUACACGCAUGAGUCACCGCGCCCAGCCGGGAAUGCAUGCUUUUAGGAGAAACGAAGACAACUCAGGCCCCUCAUUCUCCUGGUGUUUGCACAAGUGCCUUCUCCACAGACCAUGCUUCAGUCUCUUUCUUAGUUCUCCUUCUUACUGAAAGAGAGAAGCAGAGUCCCAUCAUGUACCCAGCUGCUUGGGGCCCAAGCCAAGUGUGCAAGCUUCCUGGGGAGCCUAGUGAGUGGAAGGCACUGCAGACUCUCCCCAAAGAAGCAUCAGUUUUUGAUGGAUCCUUGAGCCCAGGAAGGCAAUAGACAAGACAUCAUGGUUCACCAGAAGAGACAACAAAAAUGCGUUCUCUCUCCCUCCUCAUCUCGCUGCAUGCCACUGUUCACGCUCCUGGGGCUCCACGUGGACAGGUGGACAUGGGACUCCUAGGCUAAUUUUCACGGCACAAGCACAGGGCUGCAGGACCUUGGUCCCCCACCUCCCAGCACCCUCAAAAUGAGAGGUGUGGGGUCUGCCCGUGCUCUCCUGGGUGGGCGUCCCACGCUCCAGGAAGCAGAAACUGCAGGACAAAGCUGGCGCAAGUGACAUGCCCGCGUGGCUGCCGGCUUCCAUCUUGGGAUCUGCUGAGGCCAAAGCAGAAGACACCUGCCCCGGACCGACCCUGCACCAGGGCCUGUGUGGCUGCUGGAGAGGCUGG
This 1005-nucleotide long non-coding RNA is filed under the name Homo sapiens (human). RNAcentral describes it as "HSALNT0243370". The record is from RNAcentral. Lineage: Eukaryota; Metazoa; Chordata; Mammalia; Primates; Hominidae.